CGUGUGAGUAACAUAUCGGAACGUACCGGGUAGGCGGGGGAUAACUGAUCGAAAGAUCAGCUAAUACCGCAUACGUCUUGAGAGGGAAAGCAGGGGACCUUCGGGCCUUGCGCUAUCCGAGCGGCCGAUAUCUGAUUAGCUGGUUGGCGGGGUAAAGGCCCACCAAGGCGACGAUCAGUAGCGGGUCUGAGAGGAUGAUCCGCCACACUGGGACUGAGACACGGCCCAGACUCCUACGGGAGGCAGCAGAU
Molecule: ribosomal RNA, 251 nt
Filed under: uncultured Neisseria sp.
Lineage: Bacteria; Pseudomonadati; Pseudomonadota; Betaproteobacteria; Neisseriales; Neisseriaceae
Description: partial 16S ribosomal RNA
Rfam family: Bacterial small subunit ribosomal RNA
Source: RNAcentral